GUUUAAUGCCGUUUGAGUAUCCUGAAACGGGCUUUCAAUACAGUAUUAAUUAUAAAUAGUAGGAGUGCAUAGUGGCCCGUAUAGCAGGCAUUAACAUCCCUGAU
Molecule: non-coding RNA, 104 nt
Organism: Candidatus Hamiltonella defensa 5AT (Acyrthosiphon pisum)
Lineage: Bacteria; Pseudomonadati; Pseudomonadota; Gammaproteobacteria; Enterobacterales; Enterobacteriaceae
Source: Rfam